AUUGAACGCUGGCGGCAGGCCUAACACAUGCCAGUCGAGCGGAUGAAGGGAGCUUGCUCCUGGAUUCAGCGGCGGACGGGUGAGUAAUGCCUAGGAAUCUGCCUGGUCGCGGGGGAUAACGUCCGGAUACGGGCGCUAAUCCCGCAUACGUCCUGUGGGCGCAAGUGGGGGAUCUUCGGACCUCACGCUAUCAGAUGAGCCUAGGUCGGAUUCGCUAGUUGGUGGGGUAACGGCCUAACAAGGCGGCGAACCGUAACUGGUCUGAGAGGAUGAUCAGUCAGACUGGAACUGAGACACGGUCCAGACACCUACGGUAGGCAGCAGUGGGGAAUAUUGGACGAUGGGCGAAAGCCUGAUCCAGCCAUACCGCGUGUGUGAAGAAGGUCUUCGGAUUGGAAAGCACUUUAAGUUGGAAGGAAGGGCAGUAAGUUAAUACCUUGCUGUUUUGACGUUACCAACAGAAUAAGCACCGGCUAACUUCGUG
RNAcentral lists this ribosomal RNA (484 nucleotides) under uncultured bacterium. RNAcentral describes it as "partial 16S ribosomal RNA". It matches the Rfam family "Bacterial small subunit ribosomal RNA", at positions 30 to 507 of the family's 1533-position model. The record is from RNAcentral.